This 253-nucleotide ribosomal RNA is filed under the name uncultured bacterium. RNAcentral describes it as "partial 16S ribosomal RNA". It matches the Rfam family "Bacterial small subunit ribosomal RNA", at positions 524 to 776 of the family's 1533-position model. The record is from RNAcentral.
UACGGAGGUUGCAAGCGUUGUUCGGAAUAACUGGGCGUAAAGGGAGCGCAGGCGGUUCGGUAAGUCUGAAGUGAAAUCCCAGAGCUCAACUCUGGACCUGCUUCGGAUACUGCCGAGCUUGAGUACGUGAGAGGAGAGUGGAAUUCCAGGUGUAGCGGUGAAAUGCGUAGAUAUCUGGAGGAACACCAGUGGCGAAAGCGGCUCUCUGGCACGUUACUGACGCUGAGGCUCGAAAGCGUGGGGAGCAAACGGG